Molecule: small nuclear RNA, 23 nt
Filed under: Arabidopsis thaliana (thale cress)
Lineage: Eukaryota; Viridiplantae; Streptophyta; Magnoliopsida; Brassicales; Brassicaceae
Description: snRNA_18000
Source: RNAcentral
GGCUGAUUUUAUAGCCAUAAACU